Long non-coding RNA from Oncorhynchus tshawytscha (Chinook salmon), 371 nucleotides. Lineage: Eukaryota; Metazoa; Chordata; Actinopteri; Salmoniformes; Salmonidae. The record is from Ensembl.
UCAUUCAGGAAAAAAUCCUGGACCCAUGGGGUAAUGUCCAGGUGGUCCUCACCAACAAGGAGGUGACUGGUAUUAAGUACCUUGGUAGAAGGAUCCAUGGACUCAGGUCUUGCCUCGUCAAGAGGAGGUCAGAGUUCACCUAUUAUGAGGACGCCCAGCAGGUGGAUAUCUCCACCACAGUGGAGGGGUUCCAGGAGAGGGGGGAUGACAUGAUGACGUAUCAGUUCUCUACCUCUGACAUUAUCACCACCCCUCAUGAGCCGUCCUCUGGCUCCUCUCAGCAGUUCCCCCAGGAUUCUCCACCUCCCCCUCCGCCUCCCCCGUUCCCUUCACCUCCACCUUACCACUUCACCCAGGACCAGACCCCUGAC